RNAcentral lists this long non-coding RNA (133 nucleotides) under Dromaius novaehollandiae (emu). Its description in RNAcentral is "lncRNA (ENSDNVG00000001421.1)". Lineage: Eukaryota; Metazoa; Chordata; Aves; Casuariiformes; Dromaiidae. The record is from RNAcentral.
UCAGCAAUUCGACUGAUUUGCUGGKAGGUGCUGGCGAAGCAGGAUAAUGGACCUUCAUAAAUCUUUGCUGGAGAAAGACUACCCUUCUGCCUUGUCAUAAUGUGAAGUGUGAAAGGAAGUGCAAGUGGCAAAG